CACGUAGGGUGCGAGCGUUGUCCGGAAUUAUUGGGCGUAAAGAGCUCGUAGGCGGUGUGUCGCGUCGGCCGUGAAAACCUGCAGCUUAACUGUGGGCUUGCGGUCGAUACGGGCAUCACUGGAGUUCGGCAGGGGAGACUGGGAUUCCUGGUGUAGCGGUGAAAUGCGUAGAUAUCUGGAGGAACACCGGUGGCGAAGGCGGCAUCCUGGACCAACACUGACGCUGAGGGAGCGAAAGCCAGGGGAGCAAACGGG
This 255-nucleotide ribosomal RNA is filed under the name uncultured bacterium. Its description in RNAcentral is "partial 16S ribosomal RNA". It matches the Rfam family "Bacterial small subunit ribosomal RNA", at positions 524 to 776 of the family's 1533-position model. The record is from RNAcentral.